AGGGUGUCUGAUGGUGAAAACCCAGGCCCAUCCCAAUAGGAUGUCUGAUGGUGAAGGGCCCCCCCAAAGGGUGUCUGAUGGUGGAGACCCAAGCCUGCUCCAAUAGGAUGUCUGAUGGUGGAGGACUCACCCUAAAGGAUGUCUGAUGGUGGAGGGCUCACCCUACAGGAUGUCUGAUAGGUGGAGGGCCCACCCUGAAGGGUAUCUGAUAGUGGAGGGCCCACCCUAAAGGAUGUCUGAUGGUGGAGGACUCACCCUAAAGGAUGUCUGAUGGUGGAGGGCUCACCCUACAGGAUGUCUGAUGGUGGAGGGCUCACCCUGAAGGGUGUCUGAUGGUGAAAACCCAGGCCCAUCCCAAUAGGAUGUCUGAUGGUGAAGGGCCCCCCCAAAGGGUGUCUGAUGGUGGAGACCAAGUUCCUGUCCAGGUGCGCCUUCCUGUUGUUCUGCAUGGCUCCCAGGCCCUGGAACGGGGCUCUCAUGCUGUAUCAGCGCGUCGUGCGCCCGCUGUUCCUAAGGCACCACGGGGCCGUGGACAGGAUCGUGAACAACCUCAGCGGGCGAGCCCUGGACGCGGCAGCCGGAAUAACCAGGAACGUCAAGCCAAGCCAGACCCUGCAGCCGAAGGACAAGUGAAGCAGCCCCCUGGGUCUUGCAGGGACCUCCCGGCUGGUGAGGAGGGGGCCGCGCCGGGCUCCCAGGCCUCCACAGAGUCUUCAGCGCAUCUCCCGACGGCAGCCCCCGCCAGUCCCUCGGGUCCAGGCAAGGCCCUGGGGGUCUCCUUAAAUGCCACCUCGGGCAAGUCCCAGUCCCAGUCCUCGGCCACCCCCAGCUCUGAAUCCCAGGGCCAGCUGCCCUCCGGCUCUGGCCAUGGCAAGGCCCAGGGCCAGCGUCGGGCACGGGGCAGCUCCCAGCGGUCUCGGCAACGCACCCAGCUGCCUGGUAC
This 943-nucleotide long non-coding RNA is filed under the name Rhinopithecus bieti (black snub-nosed monkey). Its description in RNAcentral is "lncRNA (ENSRBIG00000045055.1)". Lineage: Eukaryota; Metazoa; Chordata; Mammalia; Primates; Cercopithecidae. The record is from RNAcentral.